GGGGAUGUGGCUCAGGGGUAGAGCUCUUGCCUUGCAUGUAGGAAACCCUGGGUUUGAUCCCCAGCACCCCCA
This is a transfer RNA of Cavia porcellus (domestic guinea pig), 72 nucleotides long. It matches the Rfam family "tRNA". From Rfam's summary of the family: Transfer RNA (tRNA) molecules are approximately 80 nucleotides in length. Their secondary structure includes four short double-helical elements and three loops (D, anti-codon, and T loops). Further hydrogen bonds mediate the characteristic L-shaped molecular structure. tRNAs have two regions of fundamental functional importance: the anti-codon, which is responsible for specific mRNA codon recognition, and the 3' end, to which the tRNAs corresponding amino acid is attached (by aminoacyl-tRNA synthetases). tRNAs cope with the degeneracy of the genetic code in two manners: having more than one tRNA (with a specific anti-codon) for a particular amino acid; and 'wobble' base-pairing, i.e. permitting non-standard base-pairing at the 3rd anti-codon position. NCBI's taxonomy places the organism in Eukaryota, Metazoa, Chordata, Mammalia, Rodentia, Caviidae. The record is from Rfam.